RNAcentral lists this long non-coding RNA (414 nucleotides) under Daucus carota (carrot). RNAcentral describes it as "long non-coding RNA (DCAR_LNC005738)". The record is from RNAcentral. Lineage: Eukaryota; Viridiplantae; Streptophyta; Magnoliopsida; Apiales; Apiaceae.
UAUCCUUUCCUUCAAGAUGUUCCCGAUAGCUGGUUCCGGACGUCAAGAGAGGCGACGGUAGCUGAUUGGUAGCCGGAGUCUCCGAGGUCUUCCUUCCCUUCCAUAGAUUGACAACGUCGUUCUUCGUCUCAUGUGACAUCCUUCCUCCAAUAGAUGUCAAAAAGCCCCUCCUUCUAGCGCCAAUUGUUAACGGAGGAAUCUGGUGAUAACAAGAUUCGGGGAGGGUUGCUGGAACUUGUGGUGGACGAUGACGGCGGACGACGGAGUAUGGGUGGUGAUUUUGGUUUUGGCUGAGAUCGUUUGGGGGAUUAGGGUUUUCUCACAAGAUCGAAGGAGUAUUCGCUCUUGCAAGGGUUGCGACCUCCCCCCAAACAAUGUGCCUACGUACCCUAUUUAUAGGGAUCAAGCCAGACG